GUGUUGUAUGAAAGGAGAGAAGUUUAGCACUCCCCUUGACAAGAAUGGUAGAGGCCGUCAGGCCUGACAAUACACAUACAGUUAAGGCAUUGCCACCUACUUUGUGGCAUCUAACCAUUUUUU
This is a small nuclear RNA of Cebus imitator (Panamanian white-faced capuchin), 123 nucleotides long. Lineage: Eukaryota; Metazoa; Chordata; Mammalia; Primates; Cebidae. The record is from Ensembl.